GCUGUAGCACUGGCACCGAAUAAGCUAGUAAACAGGGGCAUAAUUUAGACGCAAUCCAUCUUUCAUCUACAGCAAAAAAUUUCCCAUGUAGCCUCCUCAGGUAUUUACACGAGGGGGUAGAUCUUGAUUGAGACUUUUCGACGAAGGGGUCUCAUAGUCCUGAUCAGCAGUUCACGCCGCAUUGCCCCAAAGCAACGGCUUUCUGUGUUGGGGAGAUGAAAGGGUCAAUCUUCACCCACAGCAGGGAGAAGAUAGACGCAAGGAGGAUGGACCAGACAAUGACGAUGGUUGGCGUGCGGUUCUGCCUGCCCAUGAGACCCUUGAGGAAAGGGUAGAGAUGGAGGAUCACCCAGAUUGAGAAGAACAGCUUUCCAAAAAGCGGACCCCAGGAUUGGUAGCCACUGUUAAUAGCAUAUGAAAUUCCUGCCACCAUUCCGACCAGGUUAAUGACAAGCACAGUGGUUGGUGGGAUGAGCAAACUGGUCCACUUGA
Molecule: long non-coding RNA, 492 nt
Filed under: Setaria italica (foxtail millet)
Lineage: Eukaryota; Viridiplantae; Streptophyta; Magnoliopsida; Poales; Poaceae
Description: long non-coding RNA (SITA_LNC001888)
Source: RNAcentral